CGCGUAGGCGGUUUGUACAGUCAGAUGUGAAAUUCCUGGGCUUAACCUGGGGGCUGCAUUUGAUACGUGCAGGCUUGAGUGUGGAAGAGGGUCGUGGAAUUCCCAGUGUAGAGGUGAAAUUCGUAGAUAUUGGGAAGAACACCGGUGGCGAAGGCGGCGACCUGGUCCAUAACUGACGCUGAGGCGCGAAAGCGUGGGGAGCAAACAGGAUUAGAUACCCUGGUAGUCCACGCUGUAAACGAUGUGUGCUGGAUGUUGGGUAACCUAGUUACUCAGUGUCGUAGCUAACGCGAUAAGCACACCGCCUGGGGAGUACGGCCGCAAGGUUGAA
RNAcentral lists this ribosomal RNA (331 nucleotides) under uncultured bacterium. RNAcentral describes it as "bacterial SSU rRNA". It matches the Rfam family "Bacterial small subunit ribosomal RNA", at positions 568 to 898 of the family's 1533-position model. The record is from RNAcentral.